AAAAAGAGGGGGGGGGGGGGGCUAGUUGUCAUAAUUAUUAGUCAAAAAUUCUAUUGGGCUGGUUGUUGAAAUAAGCUUCUAGGGUAUCCACAUUCAGUUUGGUUUAAUGCUGGAAAUUUCUAUCAGUGCUACUUACUCUAGUUCAGUUGUUGUCAGGGGCAUGUCAUUUAUGAGUGUUGUGAUGUCUUCUAUGUUCUUAUUCAUGACAAUCUUCCCAAUCUUGUGAUCACAUUGUUUCUAUUUCUUGUACUUAAAAAUACAUUCAUUCAUCUCAUUAGUUUUUUGAUUCUCAAUGUCAGCACCUAUGAAAUAAACACUUUUCUAAUAAAAUAAUCGCUAGGAGUAGUGACUUCAAUCAUUUAGAAACAAUGACAACCAGCCACUUGGUCAAUAAAACCACCAUGAAAAUAGAAGCUGGAAGUGUAUAAAAUCGAGAAGUACAUAGAAGUCAAAUUCAUAAAGCACUGGUUGUGAAUGUGUAUGUGUUUCUUGUGUGAAUGUUGUUCCAAUUUUUCAUCUAUACUGUUAUUGUACAGUAGUUACGCUGAUAUUGUCAAUUGUAGUCAAACUGAAUUUCCAUUGGAUUGGAUCAAUAAAAUUAUCAUAUCUUAUGUAAAUGCCCAGAAUUUUUUAUGAUUGCCAAUAGUUACAAAAAAGUAGUGUAAAGGAGCAAAUGAGGUUUUAAAAAAAAAAAGCUGGAAAUGUGAUGCAGUAACUGAAAUCCAUUGGUGCACCAGUAUUCACUUAAUACCACUCAACUAGAAAUGUAGGACAUUGUCAACUCCUAAAAUAAAUUUUAAAAAUAACAUGACUGAUUUUUGUAGUCCAAAAAUGAACAACUUAUAAAUAAAGUUAAUAAACCUGUAUAGAUGAACAACCUUAAUGUGUUAAAUAAUUCACAAUGCAAACAAGUGUAUGAAUCAGACUUUCUGACAUUUCUUUCAACUUUCUAGUUCUCAUGACCACAUAUUGAUUCUUGACCUCUGUAAGGUGAAGGAUAGAUUGGAAGUAGAUUACACUUAUAUUUGAGAUUCAUUCCAACAAAUGUUCAUGUCAUCUUUUACAAUCAAUAUGGAGAGAUGUCAAGUUCAUAAUGCCUUGAAAAAAACCCAUAAAAUUCUUUAAAAAUGUUUACAUUUCUACUCACUUAACUGAGGCUAGGUGAUGAAUAAGUGGUGAACCUGGUAACUCAUAGUUAAUAUAAAGAAUACAGGUUAAUAGUUAAUAUAAUAUAAAGAAUACAUCCAAUGGAAAUAUUUGUUCCUUGUGCUAAACAUGAAAUAGAUAUAAUUAUAAUUAUCAAUUUACAUCUCUAAAAACACAUUCAAAAUGUACACGAUAAUUGUAUUAUGUAACCAUUGAAAACAUUUGACAAAAGAUAAAAAACAUGAGAGUCAAGGGAUAUGAAGAUGACAAUGAAAACUUGCCUAGUUUUAGGUGGCGUACUUUAAGGGAGAUAAUAUAUAAGCAUCAUUGUAAGGUACCUAAACUGGAGCAAAGGUUCACAUAUUACAGAGAAACAAAGGCUCAUGGUUAAAUGUCAUACCACAAAAAUAUUUAAAACUUGUUUUAUGCAGGGUAAUAACUAGGGUAAUGGAUAAUACAAUACAAAAGAAUAGAGAUUUCUUUGAAACUGGUUCUUAAUGGGACUAGAGUGCUACUGAAAUGAUGACUUUCUGAAAGAACAAAACCUAAGGAAUGGCACUGAACAUCCAUAUCCAGGAUAGGAAUGGCACAGUGCCACAACACUGACACUUUGAAUGGGUGCUAUGACAUUCUACAGCAUCAAGACGUCAUAGUGCUACAACAUGAUGACUGAUAUGAAAUAGAAACAAUCUAAGUUACAGAAUCAACUUUGGAGACUAAUGGACUAUGGACAUACCAGUGAGAGCAGGCACACACACACAUAACAAGACUAUCUU
Non-coding RNA from Biomphalaria pfeifferi, 1922 nucleotides. The record is from the annotation of a GenBank genome assembly. NCBI's taxonomy places the organism in Eukaryota, Metazoa, Mollusca, Gastropoda, Planorbidae.